GGACCUGUUGUCGCGCCAGCGGCAUAGCAGGGUAGCCAAGUGCGGAAGGGAUAACCGCUGAAAGCAUCUAAGCGGGAAACCCACCUCGAAACGAGUUCUCCCUUGAGAGCCGUGGAAGACCACCACGUUGAUAGGCUGGGUGUGGAAGCGCAGCAAUGCGCGUAGCUAACCAGUACUAAUCGCUCGAUAGGCUUGAUUGCUCUCAUU
RNAcentral lists this ribosomal RNA (207 nucleotides) under Methyloceanibacter sp. RNAcentral's name for it is "partial 23S ribosomal RNA". It matches the Rfam family "Bacterial large subunit ribosomal RNA", at positions 2714 to 2925 of the family's 2925-position model. Lineage: Bacteria; Pseudomonadati; Pseudomonadota; Alphaproteobacteria; Hyphomicrobiales; Hyphomicrobiaceae. The record is from RNAcentral.